Molecule: long non-coding RNA, 3957 nt
Filed under: Panax ginseng (ginseng)
Lineage: Eukaryota; Viridiplantae; Streptophyta; Magnoliopsida; Apiales; Araliaceae
Description: long non-coding RNA (PGIN_LNC002966)
Source: RNAcentral
CUUAAUUAAUUAAUAGUUAACUCAGUACCUUUGGUUUAUUCUCUUCGUCGAUUUCUCUUCUUUCUCUUCAAAAUCAGUCCACUCCUUCUCUUCUUCAAAGGCGAAGAGAUUCAAUUUUUUCUGUUUCCUUUUCCUCUUCCUCUUCAUCCACCCAUCUCUUCAUCUCCUCCUCUAUAAAUCCACCCAAAUCCUCUCUUCCUCUCCACCACAAAAACACCAAUUCCAGCACCCAAUGCAACUUGAAGGCGGCUUUGUCAUAAACCCUAGCACCCUCGAUCUUCGGAUCUCGGAUCUCACAGGGCUUCAAAAUCGUUCGUCAAAUCUCCUAUGGACAGAUCUUCGACUUCUUCAUUUUCAAAACUCUCUGUCCCAAUCAAAUCGACAUCAUACACCAAUUCUCACUCGCCAGGUCUCUCUCUCUAUAUAUAUUAUAUACACGCAAUAUAUGUGAAUUGACAAUAUAUUACUGCUUCAAAUAUUUUUUUUCCUUCUAUUUAGAUCUCUGUCGGAACUCGGAGCCGUGUUGUCGUUGUUGCCUCUGCACAGUGCAGUUGCUGCAGCGAGGAUGACGUCAUGCCUGAGCCUAGCUUCAGGGAGUUAUAGAGCUCUUUCAUAGGGUACACUGCCAAAAUCAUUUAAACAGUGUGAUAUUAGAUUGAUAAUUAUUAUUUUUUGUCAUCAUAUUAAUAGAUUGAAAUUAAUGUUUAGUGGUCUGAAUGAUUUAGUUUUGAAUAUAAACUUACAAAGCCAUUAGUUGAGCUAAUUGAUUUGUUUCUGUGAUAAGGUUAAUCCUAAUACUUCAAAUUCAGUAACUCCUAUUUUCUUUUAAUUGAGCUACUUAUUUACUCCAUAUGGAUCUGAACUAUUUUAUUUCUGAUGUCCAUUAGAAUGAUCUUGCCUGGAAAUGUUGCGAUUGACGCAUCAAUAUUGGUAAAUAUUAUUUGUAUUCUUGAAUUGCCCAGAAAAAUUGAAUCUUCUAUUUUGGUUCCAUUAUUUAUGAUUUAGCCUGGUGUUGGGCAUUUAAGGAUCACAAAGCCUUGGUUGCAAAAGCAUAUAAGGAUUUUACAUUUAUCAGUGUAGUAGUGAUUAUGGUACCAAAACAAAGCCUUGGUUGCAGAAUCCUCUUUCCAACUAUGGUGCAAAGUGUCAAUCUUUUUUUAAGGUAUAUCUCUUUAUGUUAUCCAUUUUAAUUCAAUAACCCUUCCUCUGCUCUUUAUAUGGGCGUGCCCACGUUAGAUUAAAAACCCUAACACCAGAUUCGUUUUUAUUAUAUAUCCAUCAUGUUAUCAAUUUUGUUGUAAUCCCUUGAAUUUCAAUAUCAAUCAUAAAAAAAUUCUUUGCUUUAAUUCGCGGAAGGGCCAUGUUUUGUCGGAAUUGUUAGUAAGUUCCAUUCCUCCCCCCUCUUUUUUAAACCAUAAGUAUAUAAUUAGUUAUGCUUCUUUUGUGAUGAUUCCAUCGGGAUUCUCUUUAGAAAUGUAUGAAUGUUAUAUGGUUUGAAAUUAGUUGUAUGUAGCUAUUAUCUUCCUUUUUCUUAUUGGAAAAUUUCAUUUUUAAACUUAAUUUUGGGCUUAACUAAGUUAAAAUUGAUUCAAAUUAUCAUGUUGAAAUGGAAUAUAUCUAUAUUAUGAUAUUUUGGUGUUAAUUUAUGGCAGACAUAGUUUAUGGUGGAUAUGAAAUGUGAUGGGUGUGUUUCCGCCGUCAAGAAUAAGGUUCAAACCGUUAAUGGUGGGUGACAAUUUUCACAUUAGUUAGUUAAAAAUUGAUCAAUGAUUGUGAUUUUGUGCUAUAUAGUGUCCGUAAAUGAUCUUUCUAAGUAAUCAAGUGGUUAUGGUUCUUGGGUCAUCUCAUGUUCGUUAGUCUAUAAUAAAAUUUAUUAUUUUCAAACCUUACAUGAAUCAUAUUAAUUUUGAAUUUUAGAAUUUUUGGAGUUGGCUUUAUAAAGUCAAGAUGGGGUUUUGUUGGAAUAGAUGCAGUAGUGUUUGCAUCAGAUGAAAAGUUCCCCAGAAUCCAUAAAUGCAUAGUUAUACACAUAUAUAUUAUCUCUUGAACUAAGUUCAAUUUGAAAUUUGAUGAGGUUGAUAGUGGUGGGACAAACCAUUGAUUAAAUUGUUGACUUGACAAAAUAUGUGUUGGGCAAAAAAUUUAGUCAAAGUUUUCAGAAUCUGAAAUUUCUCUAGAUGUAAGUGGAUCCUCACUGUAUACAUGCUAUCUGAAUAUAUGUGUGUAAUAUUUGGUCCAUUAGUAGUUAAAUCAGAUGCCUUAUAUCUAAAAGGAAGCAAGGACUCUUAAAUAUGAGUUCAAGAUUCUAUUUUUAUGCAUGCACUUCUUUAUAUAUACUUUGUUAAUAAAUGUUAGGACAAAAGGUGAACUCUCUUUCUAGAAGUAGAAUUUUUUUGUCGAUGGGAUGAAAAGUUGUGUCAAAUUAGAUUUCAUUAAGGUAGUUGAAUAUUUGUACUUUAGGCUGAGAAGAAUUUGAAGAUAUACAAGUAACUUUAUGUGCACUACUUUUGAGUUUUGAUGCCUAAGUUUGUUGGUCUACAAAAAGAAAACUACGCCCUCUGCACUGAAAUUAGAGUCCAGGUGAAAAUCAAAAUAUCUAAUUUGUGAUAUUUGAACUGAUAUCGGCAGUGUAUUUGGUGUUAAAACUUUCAUUUCAACAUCUUUUACACACAAUAGUAUCAAAAAUAUUAUCAUAAGAAAGUAUAUGAAUAUAGUAUCAAAGAUUUCAAAAUAUAGUUGCUUCAAUUUUUCUUGAUUCGACUCCUUUUCUUUUUGUUUAGUUUUGAUUUGUAUUGUGCAAUCAAUAUUGUAAGUGAGCUCAUUGAAUUUACAUUGUUGGCAUAGAUGAUGCAUAAUCAAGGAUAGGGAAUUACAUAUUUUAUUUUUCCUAAUUCAAAUGAUUUUUCUCACAAGUUUAUUAUUUAAUCUUUUAGUUUAAAUUAAUAAUGUGCUUAUGGUGUGUUUGAUUUGGUCCAUUGAAGCCUUAUUUGAAGGGUUUCCUCCUCUUCAAGAAUGUUAAACUUCGGCCAAAGUUAUCAUUUUCAGAAAAAGAGAACGAUCAGAAGAAACAUGAAGUUUUGUGGGCUCACUAUUUUGGUACAGAUGUCUUUGUUUGGUUGAAGGUGUGUUUUUGUUGAAGUUAUUUUUGUUUUCUGGUCUUUGAUAUCAGGGGUGUAGCAAACAAUGUUUGAAUAUAAAAUAUUAGAGGAGAAAAAAGAAAAAAGGCUUUUGAGUGGUAGAAGAUAGGGAAGGAAAGAGUAUAUAUUACAAAUGAAUUGGAUUAUUUAUGGUUAAUCGAGUUUUGCAGAUGGUGUUUGAUAAUCUUAUGGUUAGAAGAGGACGGCUCUAGCAUAUUGAUGUUAUUUCAGCAAGUGAAGUGAUUUCAUUUUGUGGUUGGAUUCUCAUUUCUCUCUUCAUGUUGGGCUGUUGAACUACUUAUGUACUAUCUUUGCCCUAUUGGUGUUAAAUAUCUUUAGAAAUUGUGUUAUUUUUAAUGGAGGCAGGACUAAGUGUAACAUUUUUGUGUUUUAAGAACUACCUUUCGUGGAUGAAAGGUAAAUACAGAGUUUUAGUUUCAGACAACAGAUAUAUAUUCUCAAAUUCUGAGUGUUGUUAAGGUUGUAUGGGACACCAUGUUGUUGUUCUCCUCGGGGAAUGUUUCAGGUAUGUCUACAUGGCUUUUGGGUUGUUUUGGUUUAACAAUUGGAAGGUGGAUUACUAUAAAGUUUUGUUGUAUGCAGGACAUGAUUUUAGAGUUUUGAUAUCACUGAUCUUAUGUCAAGUUGAAAAUAUGUUAAGGUUUUCUAUUUCAUUUUAUGGUGUCUCUAAUAUUAUUUGGUUGUAUUGAUAGUUUAAAUAUUUGGACUUCAAGGUUAGAACCCAGGACCCAGUUUGUAAUAGUAAUAUUCAAUGUUGCUACAUAUUGUGUACUUCCAGGUUUUUUUUACAUAAAUAGUG